This is a long non-coding RNA of Xenopus tropicalis (tropical clawed frog), 411 nucleotides long. RefSeq lists it as uncharacterized. The record is from RefSeq and is a predicted model, not a curated record. Lineage: Eukaryota; Metazoa; Chordata; Amphibia; Anura; Pipidae. The transcript is spliced from 3 exons.
CGAUUUGUGCGCUGGUGAUUUACCUGCUUUUAUCUAUUGGAUUUUUCUGGCUAUUCCCUGUUCAGAUUUUCCAUUCUUUUCUGAACGAGUGUAGGGAAUAGCCAGCUUUUAUUGAGGGAGACCCCCUUGGGGUACUCCGGCCUUGUGCCGGGCCCUCCAUUUCGCCCAGAAGCCAAAGUCAUCUCAGGCUUCUGGUCCCAAGAGACAUCAUCUGGGAAACUUCUUUUUAGAGGUUGCUGUAGUGCAAGGAAAAUGCCAUUCCUUCAGUUGCUGUGCUAUGCCCUGGAGGACUUCAGGGAAGAAAAUAACAAUUUUGACCACCUGCUUUCCUGUUAUGGUAAAAUUCUACAUUAAUAAUCAUUUCCUUAAUCAUUAAUUCUUUAAUUUCUGCUUGUCAAGUGAAUAUGAGGU